GACAGUGUCAAAGGAUAAACAGAAGAGCAAAGAUUACGUAAAAACUCCUUCUCCACGUGACUCGGCCUGGAGCCUUCCUCCAGCGAUGGACAACGCAUGCCCUUCUUGCAGCCAGAGACAGUCCCAAAAGACCAAGAGUCCGAAGGCCUAUCCACAGAACUGUGAUGACAAUCAUGGCCAUCAGCCCUGGAGGAAGCGUCACAGCAAACACCAGCUUAAAAAGAGACGCUCAAGAAGCAGAGAUGCUGGCAAACGUCGGAGCAAAAGAUGCAGGUGGUCAAGGCCUCGUGACUCGAGCCCCUGCCUAAAAAGCCAGAGAAGGUCCAGUAGUCGUGAGAGCACUACCUCCACAGAUUCCAGCAGAUCACGGUCACGUCACAAAGGCCGUGGCCAGUGGAGGUCAAGGAGUAGAGACAGUGAUCGUCAUUACAGAAGAGGCUGUCACCCUUCUCACAGUCAAAAGACAGCCAGAGACAGCUCCUCCGGCACGGACAGUCCUCAUUCUAAAGCUCACUGCUCAAGGAAGUCUCCUGAUCCAGAAUUCAGGACCCAGCCCUUCACCGGCAGGCAAGAACUACAUAGCCAGAUGGGACUCCACGAGCAACAGGACUGCUGUUAUGAACAAUGCAGAUCAAGCAGUCAAUCAAGCUCCAGAUCAAGGACCCCUUCUGCAGAAACAGACAGAACAAGAAGCAAAAAGCCAGGUGGGAAGAGGAAGUGCAAAACACGACACUUGGAGAACGCAGAGAAGGGGAGCACCAGCAUGGAGGGAGAAAAUGGCCUCAAGAGACCUGCCUCAACAUUCCGUGACUGCUACGAAAAUGAAAGCAGCCUUUCAGACGAUCAACCAAGCAGUGAGACAGAACCGAAGAACAAGAAGAAAAGGAUGACAAGUCCAAGCCUGGAGAGAGACUGUGAGGGAAGAGAGGCAGACCCAGCGGUGCUUUCUAAAAAGAAUAAGAAACACCGGAAACGUCGCCAGAAAUCUGAUUAGUUCUUAGAAAAUGAGUCAUUCUAAAUGGUACCAUUGUAUUAAUGCCUGUGAUGUAAGUUGAUCUCUGUUGAAAAGUAGAAACUUCUUACUACAUACAUAGUAAACAGCACUUCCAGCAAUGUAAAUUAUGCUGAGAUCUUAAUAAGGCAUUGA
This 1147-nucleotide long non-coding RNA is filed under the name Numida meleagris (helmeted guineafowl). RNAcentral's name for it is "lncRNA (ENSNMEG00000001020.1)". The record is from RNAcentral. Lineage: Eukaryota; Metazoa; Chordata; Aves; Galliformes; Numididae.